CCUACGGGAGGCAGCAGUGGGGGAUAUUGCACAAUGGGGGAAACCCUGAUGCAGCGACGCCGCGUGGGUGAAGAAGGAGGUCGGUAUGUAAAGCCCUAACAGCAGGGAAGAAAGAAGACGGUACCUGACCAAGAAGCCCCGGCCAACUACGUGCCAGCAGCCGCGGUAAGACGUCGGGGGCGAGCGUUCUCCGGAUCCACUGGGUGUAAAGGGAGCGGAGAGGGGGGUGAAAGCCAGGGGUGAAAGCCCGGGGCCCAACCCCGGGACUGCUCUUGGAACUGGGCGGCUGGAGUGCGGGAGGGGCCGGCGGAAUUCCUGGUGUAGCGGUUAAAUGCGUAGAUAUCAGGAGGAACACC
This 356-nucleotide ribosomal RNA is filed under the name uncultured bacterium. RNAcentral's name for it is "partial 16S ribosomal RNA". It matches the Rfam family "Bacterial small subunit ribosomal RNA", at positions 338 to 710 of the family's 1533-position model. The record is from RNAcentral.